AAAUGACAUGGUUGCAGCAGUAAACAGACUAAAAAAGGCGCGAGAAACGCCUAAUUUACCUGCAAUUUGAGGUAGCCAGUGAGAAGCAUAGUCAUAGACAAUCCAAUCUGGUUUGGGAUUUGAUGAACUCUCAAGAUAAUUGGUCAGUGGGAUUUCGAGCGAAUCGAAAGCUAUCUUCAAGAACUGAGCUUUUUGGUAAGGAAUAUCCAUCGAUGACUCUGCAUCAUCCGGCAAGUUUUCAACUUUAGGCAAUUGAAACCACACAAUAUGCAACAGAUGAGCAAGAUCAGAGGGAACUUUAUUGACGACUCUUUCAAUGUUUCUUGGAGUUGAAAUGAAGGUGACUCUAUGGCCCCUUCGUGCUAAACACUUUGAUAGAUGAAAAAAAGGUAUGAUAUGUCCCAUGGCUAGCCAUGGAAA
RNAcentral lists this unclassified non-coding RNA (420 nucleotides) under Hevea brasiliensis (rubber tree). The record is from RNAcentral. Lineage: Eukaryota; Viridiplantae; Streptophyta; Magnoliopsida; Malpighiales; Euphorbiaceae.